Long non-coding RNA from Cygnus olor (mute swan), 2032 nucleotides. RefSeq lists it as uncharacterized. The record is from RefSeq and is a predicted model, not a curated record. NCBI's taxonomy places the organism in Eukaryota, Metazoa, Chordata, Aves, Anseriformes, Anatidae. The transcript has 4 exons.
UUGGGUUUACUCUAGUUUUAGGAUUAAAAAGCAAAAAUACUAACAUGCAAAUAAUUAAAAUCCUAACUGAAAACACUAGGGACUUAACGGAACGUAGUUAUAUAGCAGUAGUAAGGUUGUGUUGUUGCAAGCGGUGAAAGUAGUACUUCAUCUCCCUUACUUUUGCUUUUUUAUUCUCCAACGAUUUUUUUCUGAGUGUUUUACAAGCACAGUGGCUGCACUAAUCUUCUCAUAGUAACCUGUUAAAUUUAAGGCAUUUUUUACAUGUGUUAACCUUGAUAUAAUUUCUUUAUAUUUUGAAGUUGCACCCAUAUCCUGUUCAACCAGUCUCAUUGUUUGUGGUGGGAAGCCUAAUAAAGUGACCGAAGCAGUGAUCAAAUGAAUGCCUGUCCCAAGACAGUAUCUACAGUCGACAUCCUGGUGAAUAACAAUCUAUAGCUGCUAUUCAGAAGACUAAAGGGAGAAGAGUGAAAUUUUGCAAAAAGAUCAGAGUCACAGAAUGGCCAAGGUUGGAAGGGACCUCUGAAGAUCAUCUGGUACAAACCCCGGCCAAGCAGGAUUGCCUAGAGCACAUUGCACAUGUUGGCAUCCUGGUGGGUUAUGAAUAUCUCCAGAGAAGAAGACUGCACAAGCUCUCUGGGCAACCUGUUUCAGAUGCAGAGUAUAUGGAGUAAAAACUGUCAUGCUAGCUUGAGGAUCAAACAAAAUGAGAUUAUCUAGUACUUUAAACAGAUUGCAACAUUGGUCCUUGCUUUUCUUGAAGUGGAAGUUCCAGAAGAGCCCAUCCUAAUAUACCGGCUAAGGUGAAAUAGAUAUCACCUCACAGUUGACCUUAAUGGAGGGCCACAUUGUUUUUUGGGGUUGAUUUCUGAAUGUGAUUUCUGUUAAAUGGAAGUACUCUGUAAUGCUGGCACAGAUGAUGUUCUGUAGUUUAAUGGCAAGAUAGUCAGCAGAAAAAAAGUAAUUUUAAAUUAAGGUAGAAAGGUAUUCAUUCUGCCAAAAGUAUAGGUGUGUAAUCACUGAGAAGUUGGUCACUUUGAGAACAGUCACAAAAGUUAGAAUAAGUGUGCAGAGAAAUGAGGUGAAUGAUUUGUGGAAUGACGUAGAACAUGAUACAUUCUUUCAAUACUUGGAAGUGAAACUUCAAAAUUAUGCUUAGUGAGAAGUGUGGUUAAACAUCACCGAUACUGGUACUUUGUCUUUCAAAACAUGUUUGAUUUUCAUAAAAUUUAUUGAUCUAAGUGGCAUACUAUAAAAAAUUAAGCAAAUUGUAAUGAUAUAAUUUUUCUUUUAUUGUUUGUGUGAAAUUCUGUAAAGUGGUUUGAGUGUAUGCUAGAUGCAUUGUAAUAGAGAGUCUCGAUUUCUUUCCUGCCUCUUACCUGAGGAACAAGUUUGGCCAAAUACUUAGUUUUUCUUUGAUUUGAUUUAGUUUUUAUUCUUUGAUAACUAAAAUUUUAUCACAAAAACGAUUUCCAACGUCCCUAUAUGGCAAAAGAGAAAAGCAGGGAACUUUUUUACUCUUUGCAUCAGUUGUUAGAAUGUGACACCUUAAAUUUGUCAGCUUGGGAAUACUGUAAAUCUUCCUACAGUCCUAUCCACAUGUGCAUUGUAAAUGAUCCAAAUGUAUUUUCUGUGUGUUUUCCUGAAAUGACCACACAGUAAUAGUGUUAUUUCUUUUCAUUUUUCAUUAAAUUUAAUUUUGAAGUCAGACUGUUGUAACAUAUUGAUUGAUUUAGUGCUGUUAUUUAUUGAAGAAGUGCUGUUCUCUUAACCUGAAAGUUUUGCAACAACUAAAUUAAAAGCAAGCUUUUUUUUCUUUUCUUAAUCUAAUGGUUUUGUAUCAGUACAUAUUCUCACUGCCACAAUCCUCCUCCUAAAGUUGAUGAAAUUAAAACUAACAUAUUACUCAAAUUGUUUAUUACAGCACCAACAAAGCUUUUGCACUGGUUUGAUCCUCAACUUCAGGUAAAGGUGCUAUAACUUAUGCUGUUGAUGAUAGAAUGGCAUAAUCAUGACACAUGAGGAAAUGAAG